UUGUUUACUAUCUUCUUCUAGGUUACUGUUUCAUAAAAAAAUAUACCAUUUUUUUAAAAAAAAUUUUUUGAACUCUUCUUACUAUUUUUGUUGGCACCAUCAUCUCAUUUUAAAACUCCAUUAAAGAACAAAAAGAAGCAUUCAAUUCAUAUUUUAACAUUUUUAUACAUCAAACAAGGAAUAUUAUUAUCUUGUUAUUUUUUUUAUGUUUUCCUUUGAAUUGGGUUGAUGUCUCAUAGAAAUAAUCCCCAUGACUACAAUGUACAAUAACUCAUAAACAUUAUAGUGGAGGGGAAAAAAGCAAUCCUAAACCAUUGGUAUGCGCAUUUGGUCAGGUUGUUGUCUUUUUGACACAUUCCCCAUUUCCAUUUUUAUUUGCCAUUUUUUCCCUAUUCGUUAUCUUUUUGCCCAUAAUUCUCUUUACUACAAAAUACUACAUUCAAAUGUACUAGUCAACUCAUGCUCGUUCACACGGACAUUUAAUUCGAAUUGAAUUCGAAUCGAAUUCGCUUAUUUCGUUCACACACUCAUCCUUUUUAAUUCGAAUUAAAAGU
RNAcentral lists this long non-coding RNA (554 nucleotides) under Mytilus galloprovincialis (Mediterranean mussel). The record is from RNAcentral. Lineage: Eukaryota; Metazoa; Mollusca; Bivalvia; Mytilida; Mytilidae.